RNAcentral lists this unclassified non-coding RNA (345 nucleotides) under soil metagenome. Its description in RNAcentral is "partial contains 5.8S ribosomal RNA, internal transcribed spacer 2, and large subunit ribosomal RNA". The stretch from base 1 to 120 matches the Rfam family "5.8S ribosomal RNA", at positions 35 to 154 of the family's 154-position model. The record is from RNAcentral.
GAUGAAGAACGUAGCGAAAUGCGAUACGUAAUGUGAAUUGCAGAAUUCAGUGAAUCAUCGAGUCUUUGAACGCACAUUGCGCCCCCUGGUAUUCCGGGGGGCAUGCCUGUCCGAGCGUCAUUGCUGCCCUCAAGCACGGCUUGUGUGUUGGGCCUCCGUCCUCCUCCCGGGGGACGGGCCCGAAAGGCAGCGGCGGCACCGCGUCCGGUCCUCGAGCGUAUGGGGCUUCUUCACCCGCUCUUGUAGGCCCGGCCGGCGCUUGCCGACACAUCAAUCUUUUUUCCAGGUUGACCUCGGAUCAGGUAGGGAUACCCGCUGAACUUAAGCAUAUCAAUAAGCGGAGGA